RNAcentral lists this microRNA (23 nucleotides) under Aegilops tauschii. RNAcentral describes it as "ata-miR5084-3p". The record is from miRBase by way of RNAcentral. Lineage: Eukaryota; Viridiplantae; Streptophyta; Magnoliopsida; Poales; Poaceae.
ACCAUACGGUACUGCAGAGGAUC